This 273-nucleotide ribosomal RNA is filed under the name uncultured bacterium. RNAcentral's name for it is "partial 16S ribosomal RNA". It matches the Rfam family "Bacterial small subunit ribosomal RNA", at positions 524 to 796 of the family's 1533-position model. The record is from RNAcentral.
GACAGAGGGUGCAAACGUUGUUCGGAAUCACUGGGCAUAAAGCGCACGUAGGCGGCCGACUAAGUCAGGUGUGAAAUCCCCCGGCUCAACCGGGGAACUGCAUUUGAUACUGGUUGGCUCGAGGUUGGUAGGGGUGGAUGGAACUCCAGGUGGAGCGGUGAAAUGCGUAGAUAUCUGGAGGAACACCGGAGGCGAAAGCGAUCCACUGGGCCAAAUCUGACGCUGAGGUGCGAAAGCUAGGGUAGCAAACGGGAUUAGAAACCCCCGUAGUCC